This is a long non-coding RNA of Gasterosteus aculeatus aculeatus (three-spined stickleback), 1179 nucleotides long. The record is from Ensembl. Lineage: Eukaryota; Metazoa; Chordata; Actinopteri; Perciformes; Gasterosteidae.
UGAUUUCUAUAUUCUUUAUCUUUUGCCUUUACUCUAGUUAGUAAUAAAUACUUAAUCACAAAGCAAGCUCAAGAUACUUUUGAUUUCUCACAUGGGCUAAAUCCACAAAUUUCCACCACAAACUUGGCGACGAGGAUGGGAUGGACGCGUGAUCUGGACUCUGAUGGACGGACAGAAGGCCAUAUAGUAUAAGUGAUUCCUCCCUGAGGGUGAGAAGCUGCCGUCCCGACGAGACCCGGAUUGCCGAUCCAUUCAGUUCAAGAAAAGAAACAAAGAACGCGCACUGCACGGAGAGGUACAGCACCACCUGAAACCAGGAGACUGGGUCCUCAUUAAGGAUCACUGGAGAAAGCACUGGAAGCAGAGACGCUACACGGGGCCCUUCCAAGUACCCCUGACCACGGAGACGGCAGUAAGGUGGAAGGGAAAGCAACGUGGGUCCACGCCAGCCACUGCAAACGCAUCCCGGAUCCAGGAGGCGAAGGAGCACAUCCAUCUGGUUCCGGUUAAGGGGUUGCAGGGUGGAGAGCCCUCCCCCACUGCAGUGUUCCAAGACACCAACGGGCCCAGCAGAGAUGGCAGAGACGGCAGGGACGGCAGAGACGACGGCCACCCGGAGAACAGCGAUAAAAGACAGAUCUCCAGCGCCAAAGAACACUUAGGAAGCAUGGUUGGAGCCUGAGAAUGAACAUGUGCAUAUCACUGACGCUGGCAACAUUUGUGCUGAUUCCCCUCACGAUCAAUGAACUACAACCUCCUUAUGUGAACAUCACGGAUUCCAGCCUUUCCACCUCUCCAAUAGAGAAUUUCAGGAAGUUUCCACUGUCCAGCAAAACAAUGCGACGAGACAGAGUGUUUGCUCUACACAAUCGAACAUGAUGCAUGGGUUAAAAUAGAAAGUCACUUAAAUGAAAUUGUGUAUGUUGCCAGGUUGGGAGAAGAAUAUGUACUGUGUGGGUGCCCGGAAGAUUUGGUUUAGGAGAUCCACCAUUCUGGUGCAGUAAACCACGAUCGUGUCAGGAGAUACCAGCCCACACUGGCUCCAGCAACUGGAGGGAGGCAUGCAAAAGAACUUACCGGCCUGUCAGCGAGACACAGCCUAAAACAGUACCACCUGAAAUCAUUUACGAGGCCGUUAAACCACAGGCCCUGACCUCCUGCAGGCCAGAACAGCCCCCA